GACGAACGCUGGCGGCAUGCUUAACACAUGCAAGUCUAGGGGCUCUUCGGAGCAACUGGCGCACGGGUGAGUAACACGUAGGUCAUCUGCCCCUAUCACAGGCAUAACAUCGGGAAACCGGUGCUAAUAUCUGAUGAGGUCUUGCGAUCAAAGCUUUCGGGCGGAUAGGGAUGAGCCUGCGGCUGAUUAGCUAGUUGGUGAGGUAACGGCUCACCAAGGCAACGAUCAGUAGCUGGUCUGAGAGGACGAACAGCCACACUGGAACUGAGACACGGUCCAGACUCCUACGGGAGGCAGCAGUGAGGAAUAUUGGUCAAUGGGAGCAAUCCUGAACCAGCAAUGCCGCGUGUGGGAUGACAGGGCUCAGCCUUGUAAACCACUGUCGGAUGGGACGAGAAGGUUCUUUUAGGACCCGGGACGGUACCAUCAAAGGAAGGGUCGGCUAACUACGUGCCAGCCGCCGCCGUAACAC
RNAcentral lists this ribosomal RNA (472 nucleotides) under uncultured bacterium. RNAcentral describes it as "bacterial SSU rRNA". It matches the Rfam family "Bacterial small subunit ribosomal RNA", at positions 28 to 526 of the family's 1533-position model. The record is from RNAcentral.